RNAcentral lists this ribosomal RNA (1118 nucleotides) under Providencia rettgeri. Its description in RNAcentral is "partial 23S ribosomal RNA". It matches the Rfam family "Bacterial large subunit ribosomal RNA", at positions 413 to 1532 of the family's 2925-position model. Lineage: Bacteria; Pseudomonadati; Pseudomonadota; Gammaproteobacteria; Enterobacterales; Morganellaceae. The record is from RNAcentral.
UAGGGCGGGACACGUGUUAUCCUGUCUGAAUAUGGGGGGACCAUCCUCCAAGGCUAAAUACUCCUGAUUGACCGAUAGUGAACCAGUACCGUGAGGGAAAGGCGAAAAGAACCCCGGCGAGGGGAGUGAAAUAGAACCUGAAACCGUGUACGUACAAGCAGUGGGAGCCUUGAUUUAUCAGGGUGACUGCGUACCUUUUGUAUAAUGGGUCAGCGACUUAUAUUCUGUAGCAAGGUUAACCGUAUAGGGGAGCCGUAGGGAAACCGAGUCUUAACUGGGCGAAUGAGUUGCAGGGUAUAGACCCGAAACCCGGUGAUCUAGCCAUGGGCAGGUUGAAGGUUGGGUAACACUAACUGGAGGACCGAACCGACUAAUGUUGAAAAAUUAGCGGAUGACUUGUGGCUGGGGGUGAAAGGCCAAUCAAACCGGGAGAUAGCUGGUUCUCCCCGAAAGCUAUUUAGGUAGCGCCUCGUGAACUCAUCUUCGGGGGUAGAGCACUGUUUCGACUAGGGGGUCAUCCCGACUUACCAACUCGAUGCAAACUACGAAUACCGAAGAAUGUUAUCACGGGAGACACACGGCGGGUGCUAACGUUCGUCGUGAAGAGGGAAACAACCCAGACCGCCAGCUAAGGUCCCAAAGUCAUAGUUAAGUGGGAAACGAAGUGGGAAGGCUCAGACAGCCAGGAUGUUGGCUUAGAAGCAGCCAUCAUUUAAAGAAAGCGUAAUAGCUCACUGGUCGAGUCGGCCUGCGCGGAAGAUGUAACGGGGCUAAACUAUGCACCGAAGCUGCGGCAGCGAUAUGUAAAUAUUGUUGGGUAGGGGAGCGUUCUGUAAGCCUGUGAAGGUGUACUGUGAGGUAUGCUGGAGGUAUCAGAAGUGCGAAUGCUGACAUAAGUAACGAUAAUGCGGGUGAAAAACCCGCACGCCGGAAGACCAAGGGUUCCUGUCCAACGUUAAUCGGGGCAGGGUGAGUCGACCCCUAAGGCGAGGCAGAAAUGCGUAGUCGAUGGGAAACGGGUUAAUAUUCCCGUACUGGUGAUAAUUGCGAUGGGGGGACGGAGAAGGCUAGGCUGGCCGGGCGACGGUUGUCCCGGUUUAAGGAUGUAGGCAGGUGAA